UUCCCAUUCCGAACACAGAAGUUAAGCUCUCUAGCGCUGAUGGUACUUGGUGGGAAACUGCCUGGGAGAGUAGGACGUAGCCACGUA
RNAcentral lists this ribosomal RNA (87 nucleotides) under Clostridioides difficile. Lineage: Bacteria; Bacillati; Bacillota; Clostridia; Peptostreptococcales; Peptostreptococcaceae. The record is from RNAcentral. RNAcentral also lists the same sequence under 1 other name.